CCAAUAGCGUAUAUUAAAGUUGUUGUGGUUAAAAAGCUCGUAGUUGAACCUUGGGCCUGGCUGGCCGGUCCGCCUCACCGCGUGUACUGGUCCGGCCGGGCCUUUCCCUCUGUGGAACCCCAUGCCCUUCACUGGGUGUGGCGGGGAAACAGGACUUUUACUGUGAAAAAAUUAGAGUGCUCCAGGCAGGCCUAUUCUCGAAUACAUUAGCAUGGAAUAAUAGAAUAGGACGUGUGGUUCUAUUUUGUUGGUUUCUAGGACCGCCGUAAUGAUUAAUAGGGACAGUCGGGGGCAUCAGUAUUCAAUUGUCAGAGGUGAAAUUCUUGGAUUUAUUGAAGACUAACUACUGCGAAAGCAUUUGCCAAGGAUGUUUUCAUUAAUCAGGAACGAAAGUUAGGGGAUCGAAGACGAUCAGAUACCGUCGUAGUCUUAACCAUAAACUAUGCCGACUAGGGAUCGGACGGUGUUAUUUUUUGACCCGUUCGGCACCUUACG
Molecule: unclassified non-coding RNA, 495 nt
Filed under: uncultured Glomeromycotina
Lineage: Eukaryota; Fungi; Glomeromycota
Description: SSU rRNA
Rfam family: Eukaryotic small subunit ribosomal RNA
Source: RNAcentral